UACGUAGGGGGCGAGCGUUGUCCGGAAUCACUGGGCGUAAAGAGCGUGUAGGCGGCCUGGUAGGUCUGCUGUGAAAACUCGAGGCUCAACCUCGAGAUGUCGGCGGAAACCAUCUGGCUAGAGUCCGGAAGAGGAGAGUGGAAUUCCUGGUGUAGCGGUGAAAUGCGCAGAUAUCAGGAAGAACACCUAUGGCGAAGGCAGCUCUCUGGGACGGUACUGACGCUGAGACGCGAAAGCGUGGGGAGCGAACAGG
RNAcentral lists this ribosomal RNA (253 nucleotides) under uncultured bacterium. Its description in RNAcentral is "partial 16S ribosomal RNA". It matches the Rfam family "Bacterial small subunit ribosomal RNA", at positions 524 to 776 of the family's 1533-position model. The record is from RNAcentral.